GCUUUUUCACCAGUGCUUAUACUAAAAUUGGAACAGUACAGAGAAGAUUAGUAUCACCCUUGUGCAAGGAUGAUACACAAAUUCAUGAAGUGUUCCGUAUUUAA
Sciurus carolinensis (gray squirrel) is the source of this 104-nucleotide small nuclear RNA. The record is from RefSeq and is a predicted model, not a curated record. NCBI's taxonomy places the organism in Eukaryota, Metazoa, Chordata, Mammalia, Rodentia, Sciuridae.